GACAUACUCAUAUUGUGUAAAUAACACACACGUAUCGACACAUAUUCCGGGGUGCCCUUUGGGGUCGGUAAUAUGGGAUACGUGGAGGCAUAACC
Molecule: small RNA, 95 nt
Filed under: Klebsiella sp. GL120222-02
Lineage: Bacteria; Pseudomonadati; Pseudomonadota; Gammaproteobacteria; Enterobacterales; Enterobacteriaceae
Description: t44 RNA
Rfam family: t44 RNA
About the family: This family consists of a number of bacterial RNA genes of between 135 and 170 bases in length. The t44 gene is found between the map and rpsB genes in all species in the full alignment apart from Shigella flexneri.
Source: RNAcentral